ACAAGAGUUGUCCGGAAUUAUUGGGCGUAAAGAGCUCGUAGGCGGUCCGUCGUGUCUGAUGUGGAAUCGCAAGGCUCAACCUUGCGCGUGCAGUGGGUACGGGCGGACUAGAGUGCAGUAGGGGAGUCUGGAAUUCCUGGUGUAGCGGUGAAAUGCGCAGAUAUCAGGAGGAACACCGGUGGCGAAGGCGGGACUNUGGGCUGUUACUGACGCUGAGGAGCGAAAGCAUGGGGAGCGAACAGGAUUAGAUACCCUGGUAGUCCAUGCCGUAAACGUUGGGCACUAGGUGUGGGGCUCAUUCCACGAGUUCCGCGCCGCAGCUAACGCAUUAAGUGCCCCGCCUGGGGAGUACGGCCGCAAGGCUAAAACUCAAAGGAAUUGACGGGGGCCCGCACAAGCGGCGGAGCAUGCGGAUUAAUUCGAUGCAACGCGAAGAACCUUACCAAGGCUUGACAUACACCGGAAUGGGCCAGAGAUGGUUCAGCCCUUUGGGCUGGUGUACAGGUGGUGCAUGGUUGUCGUCAGCUCGUGUCGUGAGAUGUUGGGUUAAGUCCCGCAACGAGCGCAACCCUCGUUCUAUGUUGCCAGCACGUAAUGGUGGGAACUCAUAGGAGACUGCCGGGGUCAACUCGGAGGAAGGUGGGGAUGACGUCAAAUCAUCAUGCCCUUUAUGUCUUGGGCUUCACGCAUGCUACAAUGGUUGGUACAAAGGGUGGCGAGACCGCGAGGUGGAGCGAAUCCCAGAAAGCCGAUCUCAGUUCGGAUCGUAGUCUGCAACUCGACUACGUGAAGUCGGAGUCGCUAGUAAUCGCAGAUCAG
RNAcentral lists this ribosomal RNA (819 nucleotides) under uncultured bacterium. RNAcentral's name for it is "bacterial SSU rRNA". It matches the Rfam family "Bacterial small subunit ribosomal RNA", at positions 534 to 1352 of the family's 1533-position model. The record is from RNAcentral.